Molecule: long non-coding RNA, 1111 nt
Filed under: Dromaius novaehollandiae (emu)
Lineage: Eukaryota; Metazoa; Chordata; Aves; Casuariiformes; Dromaiidae
Description: lncRNA (ENSDNVG00000003975.1)
Source: RNAcentral
GCAGAAGCAGAUGAAUCCUGGGUGAGUGGAACGGGAGCAGACGAUACAUGAAGGACAAGGUCCUAAAUGAUCCUUCUGAAGCAGAGAGAAGCCCCAAGGAGCUUCCCCUUCCUCCUCCCAGCUCUGCUCCCCUGUUCAGAGGGCAGACGCUUUCUGAGCAGGCAGAAAAGCAAAGAUGACACCUUCAGGAAAUAUCAAGAAGGGCGCAUAAUUAGAAGUGUCCUACCCAGCCCUCUGAUUUGCAGUAAUUUUGUGAACAGCAUUCAGCAUCUAUCAUGUUGCCCUUUAGUAUAUUCAGGAUUCUGCCUGACUCUUUCAGAGAACUUCAGAUGGAGCAGAACUGGCUCGCAGUUGGGAGAACUCUGACACGAUCGGAUGUUGCUUAGGCGAAACCUGGAUUGUUACUCUGAGACGGCUGAACCUCAUUCUGCACAAGACAAGGACCAUCAUGUGGUUUGCAGGACAUCUCAGAUGGGAAAACAAGCUCCAGCUGCCAGGCUAGCCCUGAAUGAGGGUGCAGAGACUCCCAACCAGAAGAGCAAGCAGGAGAGCAGACUCUCGCCUCCUCCCAUCCCCAGUCAGCUGUUUGGUUGUUCUCUGGCUCUUUUCUGCUGGAAAAAAAAAAAAAGAAAAACUGGUCACCAUCAGUUGGAUGGUCCAAUGCAGCGCCUCUUCCAUGUAGAAGACUGUGCAAAAGUCUUGAAGUCUUCCUGUGGGGAUAGGACCCCAGCACUCUCACCAUUUAUGGAAGAAAAUUACAUGCUGGAUUUGUAUUUUCCUUUUCAACCAGACAAUUAUCUAGAAUGCAUUACUCCAAUUUGCAAUUUAUAUUUAAACUUUUUUUUCUGGAUAUUCAGAAAAUAUCAGGUAGUAGGGUCCUCAGCAGUUUAAUCACACAGUACAUUUUACUGUUUUCCCUUGCAUUUUGAAUGUCUACAGCAUAGAGCUAAUUAGUGCUAUGAUGAAUUCCACUUUCUUACAAUGAGAAGAUCUAGCUCUACUAAUUAAUAACUGGACUGUGGUAUUCUUAACUUAUGAUGAGUAGUCCCCUAACUCAUGAUUUGUUUCAAUAUUUUUAGAAUAAAGAACUACUCAAUAUAGAAAUUCUUCA